GGUAGGAAUACCCGCUGAACUUAAGCAUAUAUGGGCGGGAAGAAAAUCUUUUCGAUUU
RNAcentral lists this ribosomal RNA (58 nucleotides) under Fusarium verticillioides. Its description in RNAcentral is "partial 28S ribosomal RNA". Lineage: Eukaryota; Fungi; Ascomycota; Sordariomycetes; Hypocreales; Nectriaceae. The record is from RNAcentral.